CUUUUCACUGGUUAAAUAUUUCUAAAACUGUCAGGCUAACAUGAAGACUGACCAAUAGAAUUGUUUUAUGACCGAAAAUGGACUUAAGAGGUUUCCGCCUGACAGCAACGACAUACAAAAUUUACAA
Long non-coding RNA from Sphaeramia orbicularis (orbiculate cardinalfish), 127 nucleotides. RefSeq lists it as uncharacterized. NCBI's taxonomy places the organism in Eukaryota, Metazoa, Chordata, Actinopteri, Kurtiformes, Apogonidae. The transcript has 4 exons. The record is from RefSeq and is a predicted model, not a curated record.